This 164-nucleotide ribosomal RNA is filed under the name uncultured bacterium. RNAcentral describes it as "partial 16S rRNA". It matches the Rfam family "Bacterial small subunit ribosomal RNA", at positions 355 to 511 of the family's 1533-position model. The record is from RNAcentral.
UAGGGAAUCUUCCACAAUGGACGCAAGUCCGAUGGAGCAACGCCGCGUGAGUGAAGAAGGUCUUCGGAUCGUAAAACUCUGUUGUUAGAGAAGAACACGAGUGAGAGUAACUGUUCAUUCGAUGACGGUAUCUAACCAGCAAGUCACGGCUAACUACGUGCCAG